GUCGGGCCCAGUGGCAUGUGCCUGUAGUCCCAACUAUUCUGGGAGGCUGAGGUGGGAGGAUUGCCUGAGCCCAGGAGUUCUAGGCUGCAGUGAGCUAUGAUGGCGCCACUGCACUCCAGCCUGGGUGACAGAGCAAGAUCCUGUCUGUU
RNAcentral lists this non-coding RNA (149 nucleotides) under Nomascus leucogenys (northern white-cheeked gibbon). Lineage: Eukaryota; Metazoa; Chordata; Mammalia; Primates; Hylobatidae. The record is from Rfam by way of RNAcentral.